This is a long non-coding RNA of Rhinolophus ferrumequinum (greater horseshoe bat), 1230 nucleotides long. RefSeq lists it as uncharacterized. The transcript is spliced from 4 exons. The record is from RefSeq and is a predicted model, not a curated record. NCBI's taxonomy places the organism in Eukaryota, Metazoa, Chordata, Mammalia, Chiroptera, Rhinolophidae.
AGGCUGCGGGGCUGGCUUCUCAGUGCCGCCUCAGUGUUCUGCUGUGGGGUGGGGGCAGGGAGGGGGGAGACAGAAGGAAGGAAACGACCCCGGGCCUUCCUCUUGGCGCGGUGGGUAGGUCCUGACAAGUCUUGGCAGCACAGCUGUUUCCCCAGGCCCCCGAGUCCCAGAGAAAGGAGUGCCUGAUGGGUAGGAGGCACCCGGUAAACGCUUCUUGAAUGAAUUCGUGACUCCAAUCCAACUGUUACCACAGCGAAGCAGCAGAGCAAAACACAUCCAAACCGAUGUCAUAUGUACUCAACUGCACACAGACGGGCCAGAAGACUAGGCGAUGAACGUAGAGAGAACUGGCACAUUUAGUACCAUUUCUGAAGCAAUGAUGGUACCUGCGGGUUUUCUUAUAGAGGAAAUCGAUUUGGGCAUUUCCAUCCUCACGGGAAGAUCCUGAUGGGAGAGUCUGUCCUGUUGAACGGCGAGGUGAGGUGGGGUGGACUCAAACGUCCUUAAGAAGAUAAAAAGAAGUGAUCAAAGUCCUUUGAAGAAGGAUCUAUUUCAUGACAGACUUCCAAAUUGUGAAAAGGACACAGAUCGCACAGGUUUCAGUGGGCCCAAUGGGUCACGGCAAGUGACCAACUGUAUUUGGCAUCUUGUCCCAUCGUACGCAGAGUUGGGAGCCCAUCUGACCAUCAUGUCCUGUCCUUGCUCAAGGAUCGCCCCCUGCAGGAUGUAUGAUGGAGAGCGGAGGCGCUGGGUCAGGCCCCACGUCUGUGUCCCUCCCCCACCCCGAGAUGGCUCUGUACUGCCAGGCGGUCCGUUCCACCUCACUUAGGGGCGUACUGCAUUUUAUAAUAAUUGGACGUUUGCAUUUCUCUCCACUGGGUUGCGUGCACAUCGAGGGGUCCCCAUUUCUUAUACAACCGUCCAUCCCCUCCCAUAAUAGGCACUUGCACACGUGUGCCACCCUAACAGACAAUAUGAAGCUGUGCUUUGAAUUCACUGCAGCCCUCUGGAAGAGAGAGAAUUAGCCCCAUACACCAAGGGAGAAACAGGUGUAAUUAAGUUAUUCACCCCAAGUCAUGCAGUUAGUGUGUCGGGGAGCCCGGUUAACAACCCGUACUAAGAACAUGAUCCCCAAAUCGACUUGAUUCCCAAACUCAGGCUCUCUAGCCUUGAUGCUUUUUCGCUGUGUAGUCACGGGCAGGGCUCGGCAGUCCUGAUGCGUUUCACCGU